This is a long non-coding RNA of Hemicordylus capensis (graceful crag lizard), 1067 nucleotides long. RefSeq lists it as uncharacterized. The transcript has 2 exons. NCBI's taxonomy places the organism in Eukaryota, Metazoa, Chordata, Lepidosauria, Squamata, Cordylidae. The record is from RefSeq and is a predicted model, not a curated record.
GUUAUUUCCAGCCGGCAUUUUGAGAACAGGAGCCAUUCUGUGGCUCUUUCAGUUUUAAAAAAUCAUCCCCCCACCAUUAAAACUGCAGAAUAAUGGCAAAAAAAAUUGGACUUCUGGGGAACAUUACUGGAUUGCUAGAGGCCCAUGGAGUAAGAAGUUUGGAGCUAUUGAAGAGGUGUUGUCUUGUCUGUGGAUGAAGAAAGACUGAGAGAUAGGAGCCUUGCACAAGCACAUAGAGGGACAGGGGAGGGGCUCCUGCCUGAACUCAAAGAAACUUGGAACGUUCCGAAUUGGUCUCUGUGCACGCGCAAAGCCCAAGGGUGUAAGGCACAGAAGACCACACAGAAGAACAAUGAGAUGUUCUGGGACACCCAUUUCCCUAUGGGAUUAUCCUUGAAGCUAAUAAGCAUUUCCAGUUUUGGCUUUGCCAUGUUGCAGUUCAACCAGGGUGUCAAACCAUUACCUUUUUAAAAAAAUUCAAUUUCAAUUCAGACUCAGCUGCAACUGAAGUUGUCCUUGUUUGGUCAAGAUUUGUGUUCACACCUACUCAUUUGAACCGCUCCAACUUUAAUACUUCUCUCUUCUCUUCCCAUUUUUGUAACCUUUUAUUCCCUGUUUUCUUGCCCAGUUUUGUGUUUACAGAUUAAUCCAGAUUUCUGUUCCCCUACUGACAUGUAUAGACCAUUUAAUAGACACCAAAUAUGUCCAAUUAUAUCCAUCCCAUCUGUGUUGUAACUGUCUGUUGACCAAACCCCUGUCAUAAAAUGGAAGCAGCAAGCAGGCCUCCAGUGCAAUCCCUGCUUAAUGCUUCGCAGACCCAGCCCUUAAAGAGGACAGAGGACAGGAACUUGUACAAACCCAAAAUAUAUGAAUCCUUCCUAAUAUUGGUUUUAUUUAUGUGCUCAGUCUGAUUCUGGUGGAGCUGUUGUGUUGUUCAAUUGAACCUUUAUUCUGAACCAGUAACCUGUUUGUUUGUUUGUGUGCUUUUUGCAUUUUAAAAUUUUUAUUGGUUUUUACAUUCAAAUUAAUUUGUUUAUUUAAUAAAGUAAUCUGAUUUUUUUAAAAAA